Long non-coding RNA from Drosophila pseudoobscura, 460 nucleotides. RefSeq lists it as uncharacterized. NCBI's taxonomy places the organism in Eukaryota, Metazoa, Arthropoda, Insecta, Diptera, Drosophilidae. The record is from RefSeq and is a predicted model, not a curated record. The transcript has 2 exons.
UGCCUCUACCACUGCCACUGCCUGUGCCUCCGCCUGUACCUCUGCGUCUGCCGCUCUCUGUCCGUUGGCCCAGAAUGAAAAAAGGAGGCAAUCGGCAUGGGAUCGCCUCCUCAUCGCCUCUCCUGAAAAUAUACUCGUAUUUCAUCACAAUGUUAACUAUUUCCCUCUGCGCCAUGUGAAAUGGGAUCGGCUUUUAAUUCAGAAGAGCACUUGAGAUGGUUUUGAUAAAGCAUUUCAUCAGGCUUUCACCAAUCAUCAAACGUGAAAGACCAGCAGUCUGCAAGAGUACAAAAUACAAAAGAAAAAAAAACAGAAUUCAAUAAAACAACGCCCAUGGGCUAAAUGGUGUAUUGGGUAUUCAUGGCCGGAGCUGGACAUGGAUCUGGUCAUGGCCAUGGACGAGGUACCUCCAUUCACAUACACAUUUUGUAAUAAAAUUAAUGACACGUCAUUACCGUAA